UCAGUUUAAUUUAUAUUAAGAGUAUAGUUAUAACAGUGAUGGUGUAAAAAAUAUUUGCACAAUUAAAUCGCGUAUUACAAGUAGAUCUGAUAAUAAGCAUCAAAAAGCUGCCUUUUGUCUUGUUUUAUUAAACUAAAGAGCUGAGUAUGUAUAAAAAAAUGACAAAGUAGCAAGUAAUUAGAGGAACAAUGAAUUAGCGGACAUGCUUUUUUGAUAAUGAGUGGCGUUGAGUCUUGAACUCAAGACUUCUGUUUGCGCUCAUACCAUAAUAAAAUGUAUGACUAUCUCGUCUAAACGCUAAAAUUAUCAGAGUAUAUUACAUAAUUAUUACUUCAACAGGCCUCAGUUUAGAGUCUUCUCUCUUGGGUUGGAGCCAUGCACAAUAUACUUUAAAUUCUUGAAUGAAAAUUAUGUGAAAUAGUGGUGAUAAAAGUUCCAUUCGAACGCCAUUGCCCAUUAUCGACCUUAAAGAUGAAGGUCCGAGGUUGAGGUUGGCCAAAGCAACAUCAUCCUCGUAUCUUCAUCGUAUUACUAGCUCCAAUUUUCUUGCUCAAAUGAGUGUUCCAGAAUUGUUUACGGUGUUAUCUCCUGAAAAAAGAAAAGUAAAAGAAGAGACUCUUAGUUCAAAAGCUUAAAUUACAAGGGUUAACCAAGAAUAUUAUGAAGGAAAAAAAACUACAAGGAUUAAUUCAUAGCUACUGAAUCACAAGCACUAGAAAAUAAAGAGAAAAUAUGGAACGUUAACCUUUUCUCUAGUUUUUAUUUUAUAUCUCUAAGUUCGUACAUAUUAAAAAAAACAAAUAAUCAGCUUUUGGCAUUGAAAUAUAUGCAAAUAAACGCAUAUUCCUAACAAGCAAGCAAAGACCGUCUUACGAAGUUGGUUGUGAAAAUUAAGUGGGCGUUUGGACAUAAGAAUUGGUGAAAUCUCCGUUAAAAAAAACCAUCAAGUGAAAAUAAUAAUUGAAAAUUGGAGAUGUAUUUGAAUUUUUGAAAAUAAUAAAUGAAAAUUAGGCAUGAAUACAAUUUGAGUUGUUUUUGAAUUUUUGUGAGUGAUUUGAAGUAAAAAUUUUGAAAAAUAAUUUUUGGAGUUUCUCAAAUUUUCGAAAAAUUUCGAAAUUCAACUUCAAGUAAAAUUUGAAAUUUUUAUGGCCAAACACUAAUUCCAAGAAAAAGAAAAAAAAAAUCCGAAAAAAAAAGUGAUUUUUUUUUUAUUUUGUCCCUUUCCAAACUGUUUUCAUCGUUCAUAUAUGAGCAUGACGAGCAAAUUAUGAGUAAAUAUUAGCUUAAUCCAAAGAGCAUAAAUAGAUAUCAUUACCCCUAAGAACCCAAAAAAUAAUAAAAGAAAAGAAAUAACAAGUACAUUAACUACAGAAGAAGGACGAAAACGAAGUUGGGUUACAAGUUUGAACUUUGCAGGUAAAAUUAGGAGGGUUAAUUUCACGUAUAAUCACUGAAUUUUACCCACUAUCAUACAAAAUCAUCAUAAGACUACUUUUGUCAUAUUAAAAUAACUAAACUUUAUUAUUAUAAGAGUGAAAUCGCAUAAUUAACUAUACCAGAAAAUUGCUUCGGAAAGUCUUGAUCCUUGUGUUUCUCAUUACUCCAUCUAAUUUAUUGGCUUUCAAAAAAUGAGACACAAUAUGAAUAUUGAGAAGAGGCAUAACUAAUGGAAUAUAUUUCUAAGAUGGCUAGCUUUCAAU
RNAcentral lists this long non-coding RNA (1700 nucleotides) under Nicotiana tabacum (common tobacco). Its description in RNAcentral is "long non-coding RNA (NTAB_LNC015949)". Lineage: Eukaryota; Viridiplantae; Streptophyta; Magnoliopsida; Solanales; Solanaceae. The record is from RNAcentral.